UUUUUUUUGGGUAAAGUCGGGGGGCGUUAUAUAUAUUUUUGCGUUCGCUGUUGGUCGUCUUUUGGCGGCGGUAAAAUGGGUAAAGGCAAGGUAUGUAAAACCAUAGUGUAGGCAUGAGAAUGAGCUAGAGCGGCAAGCAUAAGGGAGAAAGUGGUGCACAACAUGUCGGAUGCGAUCAUACCAGCACUAAAGCACCGGAUCUCAUCAGAACUCCGAAGUUAAGCGUGCUUGGGCGAGAGUAGUAAUAGGAUGGGUGACCUCCUGGGAAGUCCUCGUGUUGCAUCCC
RNAcentral lists this ribosomal RNA (286 nucleotides) under Avena murphyi. Lineage: Eukaryota; Viridiplantae; Streptophyta; Magnoliopsida; Poales; Poaceae. The record is from RNAcentral.